AGAGUUUGAUCCUGGCUCAGGAUGAACGCUAGCUACAGGCUUAACACAUGCAAGUCGAGGGGAAACGAUAUUGGAAGCUUGCUUCCGAUAGGCGUCGACCGGCGCACGGGUGAGUAACGCGUAUCCAACCUGCCCACCACUUGGGGAUAACCUUGCGAAAGUAAGACUAAUACCCAAUGAUAUCUCUAGAAGACAUCUGAAAGAGAUUAAAGAUUUAUCGGUGAUGGAUGGGGAUGCGUCUGAUUAGCUUGUUGGCGGGGUAACGGCCCACCAAGGCAACGAUCAGUAGGGGUUCUGAGAGGAAGGUCCCCCACAUUGGAACUGAGACACGGUCCAAACUCCUACGGGAGGCAGCAGUGAGGAAUAUUGGUCAAUGGACGAGAGUCUGAGCCAGCCAAGUAGCGUGCAGGAAGACGGCCCUAUGGGUUGUAAACUGCUUUUAUAAGGGAAUAAAGUGAGAGUCGUGACUCUUUUUGCAUGUACCUUAUGAAUAAGGACCGGCUAAUUCCGUGCCAGCAGCCGCGGUAAUACGGAAGGUCCGGGCGUUAUCCGGAUUUAUUGGGUUUAAAGGGAGCGUAGGCCGGAGAUUAAGCGUGUUGUGAAAUGUAGACGCUCAACGUCUGCACUGCAGCGCGAACUGGUUUCCUUGAGUACGCACAAAGUGGGCGGAAUUCGUGGUGUAGCGGUGAAAUGCUUAGAUAUCACGAAGAACUCCGAUUGCGAAGGCAGCUCACUGGAGCGCAACUGACGCUGAAGCUCGAAAGUGCGGGUAUCGAACAGGAUUAGAUACCCUGGCAGUCCGCACGGUAAACGAUGGAUGCCCGCUGUUAGUCUGAAUAGGUCAGCGGCCAAGCGAAAGCAUUAAGCAUCCCACCUGGGGAGUACGCCGGCAACGGUGAAACUCAAAGGAAUUGACGGGGGCCCGCACAAGCGGAGGAACAUGUGGUUUAAUUCGAUGAUACGCGAGGAACCUUACCCGGGCUUGAAUUGCAGAGGAAGGAUUUGGAGACAAUGACGCCCUUCGGGGCCUCUGUGAAGGUGCUGCAUGGUUGUCGUCAGCUCGUGCCGUGAGGUGUCGGCUUAAGUGCCAUAACGAGCGCAACCCCUCUCCUUAGUUGCCAUCAGGUUAAGCUGGGCACUCUGGGGACACUGCCACCGUAAGGUGUGAGGAAGGUGGGGAUGACGUCAAAUCAGCACGGCCCUUACGUCCGGGGCUACACACGUGUUACAAUGGCAGGUACAGAGAGACGGU
This 1252-nucleotide ribosomal RNA is filed under the name metagenome. RNAcentral's name for it is "bacterial SSU rRNA". It matches the Rfam family "Bacterial small subunit ribosomal RNA", at positions 8 to 1251 of the family's 1533-position model. The record is from RNAcentral.